AGAGUUGAUCAUGGCUCAGGAUGAACGCUGGCGGCGUGCCUAACACAUGCAAGUCGAACGAGCGAGAGAUGAAACCUAGUGAUUCUCGAGCGAGUGGCGGACGGGUGAGUAACGCGUGGGUAACCUGCCUUACAGAGGGGGGAUAACAGUCUGAAAAGACUGCUAAUACCGCAUAAGCACACAGUACCGCAUGGUACAGGGUGAAAAGAUUUAUCACUGUAAGAUGGACCCCGCGUCUGAUUAGCCAGUUGGCAGGGUAACGGCCUACCAAAGCGACGAUCAGUAGCCGACCUGAGAGGGUGAUCGGCCACAUUGGGACUGAGACACGGCCCAAACUCCUACGGGAGGCAGCAGUGGGGGAUAUUGCACAAUGGAGGAAACUCUGAUGCAAGCGACGCCGCGUGAGUGAAGAAGUAUUUCGGUAUGUAAAGCUCUAUCAGCAGGGAAGAUAAUGACAGUACCUGACCAAGAAGCCCCGGCUAACUACGUGCCAGCCGCGGC
RNAcentral lists this ribosomal RNA (501 nucleotides) under uncultured bacterium. Its description in RNAcentral is "bacterial SSU rRNA". It matches the Rfam family "Bacterial small subunit ribosomal RNA", at positions 8 to 518 of the family's 1533-position model. The record is from RNAcentral.